Molecule: ribosomal RNA, 557 nt
Filed under: uncultured soil bacterium
Lineage: Bacteria
Description: bacterial SSU rRNA
Rfam family: Bacterial small subunit ribosomal RNA
Source: RNAcentral
AUGCAAGUCGCACGGAGCUUCGGCUCAGUGGCAGACGGCUGAGUAACGCGUAGGAAUCUACCUCUCGGUGGGGAAUAACGGGCCGAAAGGUCCGCUAAUACCGCAUACGACCCCGCGCAAGCGGGAGGAAAGCCUUCGGGUGCCGAGAGAGGAGCCUGCGUCCGAUUAGCUAGUUGGUGGGGUAACGGCCUACCAAGGCGAUGAUCGGUAGCUGGUCUGAGAGGAUGACCAGCCAGACUGGGACUGGGACACGGCCCAGACUCCUACGGGAGGCAGCAGUUAGGAAUUUUGGGCAAUGGCCGCAAGGCUGACCCAGCAACGCCGCGUGGGGGACGAAGGCCUUCGGGUUGUAAACCCCUUUUGUCGGGGACGAUGAUGACGGUACCCGACGAAGAAGCCCCGGCUAACUACGUGCCAGCAGCCGCGGUAAUACGUAGGGGGCGAGCGUUGUCCGGAUUCAUUGGGCGUAAAGCGCGCGUAGGCGGCUUCGCAAGUCGGCCGUGAAAUCUCCAGGCUCAACUUGGAGGGGUCGGGCGAGACUGCGCGGCUCGAGGUGG